RNAcentral lists this ribosomal RNA (468 nucleotides) under uncultured bacterium. RNAcentral's name for it is "partial 16S ribosomal RNA". It matches the Rfam family "Bacterial small subunit ribosomal RNA", at positions 28 to 507 of the family's 1533-position model. The record is from RNAcentral.
GACGAACGCUGGCGGCGUGCUUAACACAUGCAAGUCGAACGGAAGGGCCCUGCUUUUGUGGGGUGCUCGAGUGGCGAACGGGUGAGUAACACGUGAGUAACCUGCCCUUGACUUUGGGAUAACUUCAGGAAACUGGGGCUAAUACCGGAUAGGAGCUCCUGCUGCAUGGUGGGGGUUGGAAAGUUUCGGCGGUUGGGGAUGGACUCGCGGCUUAUCAGCUUGUUGGUGGGGUAGUGGCUUACCAAGGCUUUGACGGGUAGCCGGCCUGAGAGGGUGACCGGCCACAUUGGGACUGAGAUACGGCCCAGACUCCUACGGGAGGCAGCAGUGGGGAAUAUUGCACAAUGGGCGGAAGCCUGAUGCAGCAACGCCGCGUGCGGGAUGACGGCCUUCGAGUUGUAAACCGCUUUCGCCUGUGACGAAGCGUGAGUGACGGUAAUGGGUAAAGAAGCACCGGCUAACUACGUG